Molecule: transfer RNA, 80 nt
Filed under: Staphylococcus aureus KLT6
Lineage: Bacteria; Bacillati; Bacillota; Bacilli; Caryophanales; Staphylococcaceae
Description: tRNA-Phe
Rfam family: tRNA
About the family: Transfer RNA (tRNA) molecules are approximately 80 nucleotides in length.
Source: RNAcentral
GGUUCAGUAGCUCAGUUGGGUAGAGCAAUGGAAUUGAAGCUCCAUGUGUCGGCAGUUCGACUUCCUGUCCUGAACCAUUC